AAUGAAUUGCCUGACAAAAGGGCUACCUUGAUAGGGUAAAUUAUGUAAUAUUUAUUACAUUCAUUA
This 66-nucleotide transfer RNA is filed under the name Empis caudatula. Its description in RNAcentral is "tRNA-Ile". The record is from RNAcentral. Lineage: Eukaryota; Metazoa; Arthropoda; Insecta; Diptera; Empididae.